This 76-nucleotide transfer RNA is filed under the name Ochromonas triangulata. The record is from RNAcentral. Lineage: Eukaryota; Chrysophyceae; Chromulinales; Chromulinaceae.
GAACUUUUAAGAGAAAAAUAUAGCAAUAAUGAUAUUUUGAGUGAAAAAGACAAUUUAACUAAAUUAAGUUUACAAG